This is a long non-coding RNA of Gossypium raimondii (Peruvian cotton), 2189 nucleotides long. RefSeq lists it as uncharacterized. NCBI's taxonomy places the organism in Eukaryota, Viridiplantae, Streptophyta, Magnoliopsida, Malvales, Malvaceae. The record is from RefSeq and is a predicted model, not a curated record. The transcript is spliced from 2 exons.
UUCCGAUUACCCCCCCCCCCCCCAAAUGUUUGCCCUACCCUCACCCUUUACCCCAAAAUCUAGAAAAUCCCUAAAGUAAACCAUCUUCCUCUUCAUCACUCAUCAGUUUCUGAAAAUUGAAAUCCCUCUCCCGUUCAGCCGUCUCUCACCCAUCUCCGGUUAAACCAUCUUUCUUCGUCAUUUUAUGGAACUUUCCUGAAAAUUGUUUGUUCAUUAGUUUUUGCUUGCUCGGCGUCGCAUCGAAACAACUCAAGUUCAGGUUUUUCUGUUUUCUUUUCCGGUAAUUUUGUUCUUAAUGAUAUUUUAAUCCAAAACCUUUUUCAUUUAAAAUUUUUUAGUGAAAAUAUUUUGGAUAUAGUGUAAAAUGGUAUUGAGUCUGAAGAAUAUACAUGCGUGGUGGAUUUGAAAUAUUAAGGGAAAAACCCAAAUCUUUGCACCCAUAAAACAAGAUAUUUGCAAUUGUGGUGUUUGGUUUGUUCAUGAGAACAGUAUCAUAGUUUUUCAUCAUUUCUUUUAAGGAGUUAGUUGAUGAUACAACUAAGGUUGGAUUUUGACCUAAUUUCAGAAACGUUAAUGACCUAUAUUUGAGUGAAAGGUUCUGAAAGGAUCGAUGGGGGAGUUUCACAAGUUCAAAAAGGUGGCCAAUGAUCGGUAACUUUGGGGGAGAAUGAGUUAAAUUAUGUAAUUUGUGUUUUGGUAGUUUAAGCCAAAGUAAAAAAAAAAAAAGAAACGAGAGAAAGAAAAUAUGAAAGAGAGAAACAAUGGGUUGUAAAGUUUAAUUUCAUUGAUGAGCUCUAUUAAUGGUGGUAUCUCCAAUCUUUUGCAGAUUAAAUUAUGAACUAAAUAAGAAAAACUCAUAUUGAGCAUUUUUAUUUAUUUUCUUAUUUUUUUUGCAAUAUAAAAUUCCAUCAAUUGAGCAUGACUUCGAUAUUUUUAGAUUUUUUUUUGUUUCAAGUGGAGUCAGGUUUAACCUGAAAGCAAGAGUUAAAGUAUCAAUUCUAUCUUUAAUGGUGCAUGUUAAAACAAUCUAGCAAACAUAAACAUUUGAUGUUUGUGAUGGGUGUCAGUUAAAGCUUCAAUUCUAUCUUUAAUGGUGCAUUUUCUUUUAAUUAUUAUUUAAGAAUUUUAUUUUUAUCGACAAGUUGGAUUUAGAGAGAUGUUACCAUUACUACGAAUCAGUUUUGGGAUAAAGGAAUUUGGUUUUCAACAAUUAUUUGGACUGUUGCAUAUUUUUAAUUUCUUGGAGUGGUAGCAGUGUAUUGGUUCCUCCCAAAAUGAAGUUGAAUUUGUAGUUUGAAGUGACAAAUUGAUGCAUAUUACUCUACCCUUAGUCAUAGUGAAAGCUUGAAUUAAGGUUUUUAAGGUCGACAGACAUGAUUAAGCUUUUAUUCAAACAAAUAUAUUCGAUUCGAUUCGAAUUUUAUUUCACUCGACUCGGUUUGAGAAAAUUUUAAAUCGAGUUAGGAUGAUAAAAUAGAUUUCGUCAACUUGAUUAACUCAGAAUUUUUUCAUUCGAUUCGAUUCCAGCGAACACUCACCCCUAAUGAGUAGCAUUGAGUAAAGCUUGUAUAGUAACCCUGAUCUGAAACUUGUGUGAGCAGCUGAAAUAUGAAAACAAUAGCUAAACGAAAAUGAAAUGGUUGAAAAUAUUGAAUAUGAAAUUAAUGGUUAAGUUUACAAAAUGAGCAAAGUUGAAUUGCAUGAUAAUAACGAUAUGGUAGUGCUUGCAUAUGAAUUGAGAAUUAUAAUCUUGUAGUAUUAAUGAACUAAUCUCUUAGUCAUCUUUUGAAAUUAUAUAUGUCAUGCUAUGCUCAAAUGCGUUUCAAUUACUUAAACUAAUUGUAGUGUCAAGGUAAGUUAAAGUUGAUUUUCAUAUGGACUUACUAAGCAUUUUUUAUGCUUAACCGUUGAUUUCUUUUCUCCCUGUAGAUUGAUACUUGCUGAACGUGUUGGUCAAAUCAACUUGAGAAUCACGCUAUCCUACUUUUGACUUGAUAGUCCUUGUUUAUAUGGCAUCAUUUCAUAACUCGGACCCGACGAUCAGAUCGGACAAGGGGUGUUACAAAGUUUCAGUGCUUAAAAAAUCAUAUGAAUUAUAUAAAUUUUGAUUUGGUGUAAUUAUGUAUAUAAAAUUUUAGUUGUGGACUUUGAUUUUGAUUUAAAGAAAUAAAUAUAUCUAUUUAUUUUUA